UGAGUGCGAGCUGCUACGGCAGCGAAGUUGGUGACGUCAAGCUUCCAAGAAAAGCCCUAUACCCGUUAAGGCAUCAUGGCCUGUACCCGAAACCGACACAGGUGGGGUGGUAGAGAAUACCGAGGGGCGCGAGGUAACUCUCUCUAAGGAACUCGGCAAAAUGGCCCCGUAACUUCGGGAGAAGGGGUGCCACCGCAAGGUGGUCGCAGUGAAGAGGCCCAGGCGACUGUUUACCAAAAACACAGGUCUCCGCUAAGUCGCAAGACGAUGUAUGGGGGCUGACGCCUGCCCAGUGCCGGAAGGUUAAGGAAGCUGGUCAGCGCAAGCGAAGCUGGCGACUGAAGCCCCGGUGAACGGCGGCCGUAACUAUAACGGUCCUAAGGUAGCGAAAUUCCUUGUCGGGUAAGUUCCGACCCGCACGAAAGGCGUAACGAUCUGGGCGCUGUCUCGGAGAGAGGCUCGGCGAAAUAGAAUUGUCUGUGAAGAUGCGGACUACGUGCACCCGGACAGAAAGACCCUAUGAAGCUUUACUGUAGCUUGGUAUUGUGCCCGGGCUCUGAAUGCGCAGGAUAGGUGGGAGGCUUGGAUCAUCGGCUUGCGGGUCGAUGUGAGCCAACGGUGAGAUACCACUCUUUCAGAGCUAGGGUUCUAACAGUCACCCGUUAUCCGGGGACUGGACAGUAUCAGGUGGGCAGUUUGACUGGGGCGGUCGCCUCCUAAAAGGUAACGGAGGCGCGCAAAGGUCUGCUCAGGCUGGUUGGAAAUCAGCCGACGAGUGUAAAAGCAGAAGCAGGCUUGACUGUGAGACCUACAAGUCGAACAGGGAGGAAACUCGGCUUUAGUGAUCCGACGGUUCUGCGUGGGAGGGCCGUCGCUCAACGGAUAAAAGUUACUCUAGGAUAACAGGCUCAUCUCCCCCAAGAGUUCACAUCGACGGGGAGGUUUGGCACCUCGAUGUCGGCUCAUCGCAACCUGGGGCUGAAGUCGGUCCCAAGGGUUGGGCUGUUCGCCCAUUAAAGCGGUACGCGAGCUGGGUUCAGAACGUCGUGAGACAGUUCGGUCCAUAUCCGGUGCAUGCGCAGGAAUAUUGAGAGGAGUUCUCCCUAGUACGAGAGGACCGGGAGGAACGCACCUCUGGUGUACCAGUUAUCGUGCCAACGGUAAACGCUGGGUAGCCAUGUGCGGAGAGGAUAACCGCUGAAAGCAUCUAAGUGGGAAGCCCACCUCAAGAUGAGUAUUCCCACGGCGUUAGCCAGUAAGGUCACGGGAAGAACACCCGUUGAUAGGCUCUAUGUGGAAGCGCAGUAAUGCGUGAAGCAGAGGAGUACUAAUAGACC
This 1337-nucleotide ribosomal RNA is filed under the name metagenome. RNAcentral's name for it is "bacterial LSU rRNA". It matches the Rfam family "Bacterial large subunit ribosomal RNA", at positions 1564 to 2910 of the family's 2925-position model. The record is from RNAcentral.